AGCUUUCAGUUUGACACUCGGCCGCGUGUAAAGCUCACGAACUUUGCGAAAUAUCAGUGAAAAGUGUCGAGCGAGGCGGAGGCGAUACGCGGCGGCAAAAUGGCGGCCACAGUGCGAAACAAAUGACAGCGCGGAUUUUGUGAGCUUGCAAGCUUUAACAAGGACCCGCGAAAUGCCCGAUUGUUAAAUUUCUACGAGAAUAUUUAGUAGUUUCGAACAACCGAAAAUAAUAAAAAAUACAUUUUUUAAUUUCUCGAUUCCCGAAGGGCGCGUACCUAAAGUUAUAUCGUAAGAACAAUUUCAUGAGAUAACUUGAGAAUAAAAUAAUACAUUUUAUCAGCGGCAAACGAACGGCUUCAUUAAGCUUUUAAGAAACGAACUAUUGUAAGUGAUAUCAAACUUAGCGAACUUGGAUCCUUUAACAAUGAACCCGGCACUCGCGGAGGUGCGUUACAAGCUCUCAUUCAGGGAGAUGAUUCUCUCUGUAGGGUGAAACCGUUACUCCAACACCUGAUGAUGUAUGCGCCUCGUAUCAUUGAAGCGUAAAUACUAUACAUAGAAAUUGCUAAAAAUGUUGGGAUAUCUUUGAAACAUUGGACAAUUCUCAAUUACAAGUUACAUGGGAUUACGAAACAAAUGAAUCAAAAAUGCAUUUGCAUUUUGAGAAAAAUAACAACGCUAAGUGUGACUGCAACAUCCUGUCGCUCAGUUGGAUGGGAAAAGUGCCAGACGAGCUUCCUGAGGACGAAGGAUGGAAGCUGAACAGAACAAAUUAUUACCAAGAAGGUUGGCUGGCUACGGGAAACGCGAGGGGACUGGUGGGGGUGACUUUUACCACUUCGCAUUGCAGAACCAGAGCCGCCGAGCUACCUCUUCGAACGAACUAUAACCUCAGGGGUCACAGAAGCGAGGUGAUCAUGGUCAAGUGGAACGAACCCUAUCAGAAAUUGGCGUCUUGUGAUAGCUCGGGGGUGAUUUUCGUGUGGAUAAAGUACGAAGGAAAGUGGAGCAUCGAGCUGAUAAAUGACCGAAGUACACCGGUCACCUAUUUCUCCUGGUCUCACGACGGUCGAAUGGCCCUAAUAUGUUAUCAGGAUGGCUUUGUCUUAGUGGGCAGCGUUGCUGGCCAGAGAUAUUGGUCAUCGAUGCUCAAUGACCAGGCAACCAUCACGUGUGGAAUUUGGACUCCAGACGAUCAGCAGGUCUACUUCGGAACGACGGCGGGUCAGCUGAUAGUGAUGGAUGUUCACGGAGCAAUGGUGUCGGAGGUUCAAUUGGCAGCGGCGGUGACGUCGAUGGCUUGGAGUGCAGAGAAAUUCAAAAUGGAAGAAGGGGACGACGACGUAACCGGUAGCCAGUGUUCGCAAGACGAACGGAGCUACGUGUUGGCGGUUUGUCUCGCCGACGGAAAUAUCAUCCUGCUGCGUUCCUUCGACGACGUUUCACCCGUGACGAUACGAACAGGGUUGAGGUCACCUCUGCUUGCCGAGUGGAGCAAUUCCAAGAAGCUUUUGGCAGUCGCUGGUAUCAAGGAUUCCGACCAUGUUUUUCAACCCAAUCCCCAGGAGUUCACGAAUUUAUUACAGUUCUACUCCGAUACCGGCGUUCUGGUCUACACGACGGCGAUACCGUACACGCAAUGUCCGGUAUCGGCGUUGACCUGGGGUCAUAACGACAGAAGAUUGUUCGUUGCAACAGGAGCGCGAGUCCACGCAGCUUGGGUAUCUAGACGGGUUGGUUCUCUCCAGUUACUCUCAAGGCUUGCUGUCCGCGCUGCUCUCUCCAGAGAAUCCAGCGUGCAGCAGCUGCCUUUGCCUCCAAGACUGAGAGCCUUAGUCGCUGCCCUUUUCGCAAGCACCAUAAGAUGCUGCGUACCCGAGCCGAGAGAAUUGCGGCGUUUCGUAUCGCGUCCGCCUCCCGGGGGUGGCCGGCUUCACUGUACGAUGCUUCGGCACGCGGGUGAGCCAGCGCCGUGUUACACACUGUACUUGGAGUAUCUCGGAGGCUUAGUACCACUGCUCAAGGGUAGAAGGACGAGCAAAAUUCGUCCAGAGUUUGUGAUAUUCGAUCCGCAAAGUCAAGAGACGCUACAGACGACAGAUUUUUCCACGCAGUAUCAGGCUUACAGCGACGGCUCUGACACCGAAAGAGACACUGCGGAUUUGUGCGGAUCGCCGAGGAACAGAAGAAAGAACAGAAGGAGGCGGGAGGAAAAACCCGUAGAAGAAACCGACGACCUCGCGUACGUCGACACUCUGCCUGAGCACGCGAGAUUGGUGGAAGUUACGUCAAACAUUUGGGGGACCAAGUUCAAAAUUCACGGACUGACCGACUCCGUUCCCGCUAACUUGGGUCAAGUUACAUAUCGAACGUCUCUCUUGCAUCUGCAGCCAAGACAGAUGACACUGGUCAUGACUGAGUUGAGAGAUGAUGUACCGGCGGGUCCAGACCCGACUUUCAAUCCGAACCUUUUCUCCGAGGAUGAAGAAGAAGUGUUCCAGGAGCCGCAGGGAAGCUCACGCGGUAGUUUGGAGGCCCAACCGCCGCCAAUCGCCCCAAUGACCCCGAGGAAUUCUCGACUGAACGCGAAUCGUCCAAAAUCGCAGAUUUCCAACCAAUUCAUAACGUCGGAAGCUCUUUCGCCGGCGCUCGCGCGAGCCGAGAGUUACGAGGACGAAUUUUCGUACGUCGAUUUGCAGGACAUGGUGAGCUUCUGCGAGAACCUCCGAGCCACGUCUGGUAACACGUACAGAACACCGCCGCGACACAACUCGCCGAGAUGCUGCGACGUCCCGACGUUACAGUCUCCGAAAAACGCGGUAGCGCCGACGCAGACCUUGAUAGCAACCUCAAACCCGAACACGGACUACACGGGUAACAUUCAAAGGGUAAAAACAGCGCUGGCUGACCAACAGACGAACAUGGCGACGAAAAAGGAUAUCGAGAACAACAAAAUGAAUCAAAUAUCAGACGAGAAGUCGAACCUGACCUCGAACCCCGGUAGCGUCAUCCCCCUCUCGAUCCAGGGUGGAGGUAAUUUGGGCUCGGGUUCUUGCUCACCGAGUACAAUAAUCAACGGCUUAAGCAACCCCGUUAACUGUCCCCCGGGACAGUCAAUAUUCCUGAACGGUUUAAGCGGCAUCGGAGGUUCAAGUGGCGCAGUUCUGCAGGCAGCUUCUAACAUCCAAAAUUCCGGGAUUCAGAUGAGUCAGAUGUCGGUGCAUUCUAAGAACAGUCUGAACUUAGCGGGUAGCGUGAACGGCUCCACUGGGCUCGGCUGCUCGAGCGGAAAUUUGAACGGCAUGCCGACGAAUUCGAAGAGUGCUGGGAGUGCGAAUGGUCGGUGCAACGGGCCGGGUUCACCGACUUGUUCAGGCCAAGUGCAUGUGGCCCAGAGUCAGUGUCCAUUGACAACUAGUCAACCGAACGGCGGCCAGCAGAGUUCCAAGAGAAAAGACGCGAAGGCACAGGGUUGCUGCGGAAAGUCGAGCCCUGGAGGAAACCAGGUGGGAAUAGCGCCGGGAAAAUCCGAAGAGCUUCGGUAUAUCGACGAGGAGAAUUCCCUCGAGUUGGGCACUGUUCAGUUUCGGACCGUCCACAGAACUCCGACGGUGGUUAGUAUCGGACCACUUUGUCUCGCUGACCCGAUAGUGAGAAGCUGCAGCGUCGGCUAUCUGGACUUGGUCGACGCACAGUUGGUGCCUUGCGAGGUGGCGCUCAGGAUGCUACGGAAAGAAGCGCCGAACAAGAGACUGGUGCUCGUUUCUCGGAAGACCAAAAAAAGACGGAAGAACAAACCGCAGACCGAGAUCUCACAGCCGAACAGAAAACCUCCGAGGUUGAAAAACUGCGGUAAAUCGCGCAGCUUAGACUCCAGCGACAUAUUUCCGAGUACCGAACAGAUCGCCACAGUGCCUCAGCUGCCCGAACACCUAGAAGAGGCUUCGAACCCCGAAUCUCCGGAAAGCAAACACGUUGAGGCCGUCGCGGAUCUCGUCGAGACCACUCCUCCUACUGAGGCCAAUUCUAAACGCGAAAAGGCGGAUACUGAGCUCCAAGAAACGCCCGAAGUCAUACCUGAAAAGCCCGCCAGAUUAGAGGCUUGUCCGUCUCCGGUCAGAGGGUCCAGUCCAAGUGGCUCGAUCGCUUCUUCGCUGGACGGACUCGCAGCUAGGCUGAGAGAUUUCGACGAGAGUCACUCCCUGCCACCACCGUCUCCACGUCUGACUUCAAGAUUGCCCAGAAGUUCACCUAGCAGCCCAGCACCGUCAAAGAAAGGGAAACGACCGGCGUCCGCUUCCCCAAUCAGACGAAGGCUUUUGUCCAGUCCUCUGCUGAGCAGACGACCCAGAAAAAGUCGGGGGGAAAGUUCGGACGACGAAGGGUUGCCCCAGGAGGAAUCGCCAAGGAAUUAUCGCAACUUGGAGACCUUCCAGAAGGCCCAACUUCGCCAAAAGUUGAAACAGCGAGGCGCCGGAUCCUCGGGGCAUAAAUCAGACAUUUUCAACAAACGAGAGGAACUGCGGAUGCACAACAAGGCUCCGAUGUGGAACGAGUCGAGUCAGGUGUACCAACUCGACUUUGGCGGCAGAGUCACUCAAGAGAGUGCAAAAAAUUUUCAAAUCGAAUUUAGGGGCAAGCAGGUGAUGCAGUUCGGUAGGAUAGACGGUAAAGCCUACACUCUGGACUUCCAAUACCCCUUCAGUGCAUUGCAGGCCUUCGCCGUGGCACUUGCAAAUGUUACACAGCGGCUCAAGUAACCUUCACUCUCCAGUACUUCAUUCGAUAUAUGUACGGAUCCGGUUACGAUUGGCCUCGCAUGAAUUUUCAGUAACAAAAGUCUGUGCGAAAUUUGGAAUACGAGUAUUAAUAUAAAUAAUAAUAACAACUCUACUAAAGUUCGAUCGUAGCGCAAUUAUUUGUUUUUAUAUUUUGUUCUGUUUUUUAAUUUAAGAAGAUAAUAACUAUAUCGAUAGGUCCGCGUCGGCUACCGGUGCAAAAUAUCGCAGUUGAACGGAAAAAACGAUCAUUACUACUGAAAGUAUAAUUCAUUGACCUUAGUAACAAAAAUAGGCUGUAUUGAGAAAUAAACGUUAUCUGUCGUGUAACUGAAAUGUUAGAACCGUAUUUCAACGAAACGUAUGAAACGUAUGAAAAUAGACAAAAUCGGAUGACAGGCUAGUUCUAGGCAUCGGCUAGUUAAAAUAAGUGACUCUUUAAUUGUUGAACCCCGUUAUUUUUUACGCGAAGAAUAUUUCUCGCUAAACAAGUAGACGAGAGAAGUGAGAGUUUGUGCGAAAAAUUACAAAAUACUAAUAUCAAGCUUUAUUCCCCUUGCCCCUUGUAAUUUUUUUAGAAUACCGUGUUUUCAGGCAUGGUAGGGUGAUAAUCCGACAUUUAGAAAACGUAUUUUGUUGCAAACUCCGAGACAAACUUCGCGUAAUUUUCUCAUUCUUAGUAUUGCUUUGCGUGUAUUUUCACCUAUGUUUUAUAGAAUUUUGUACCAUCAUAUCAUAAUAACAGAAGUGAUGUAUAAAAAUUGAAAGCAAGCUGCAGCAGUAGAUUUCUUUAUGCUAUAUGAGUAUUGCUUUAAUCGUACCGUCCAGAACGUUUAUCUAUCAUUUCUUCAUCAUUAUUUUAACUACGAUGUAACCGCCGGGAAAUUUUGCCUCGUUAGUGUCACUGGUUCUGUAUUUAAAAUUGAAGAAACUAAGCACCAGCAUUGAAAAUUAUUUUUUCAAUGCUUGUUUGAUUCGAUGGGCAUAUAAAGUUCUUUUUAUCAACAAAUUAUUACUGCUGUUCGAAUAGUGAACGAUACUGAUUCGGAAAAUUCGAUGCGUAUCCAACACUACGUUUUGUUAAUUUCACAGAACAAUGGGAUAUGUUGUAAUCUUCGAUUUUUCCACACGGUUGAUGAAACAUAUUGAUUACUUCCUUCGAUAAUCGGCAUUGUUAUGAUUACACUAGUUUUGCUUCAGCAGGAAUUUACCAUCUCAAGAAUAUAAUAUAUAAAUGUCCGGCCUGAAUUUUGUCUAAAAUGAAAAUAAAAGGACGCCACCCAUACCAAAGAAGUAAAUAAAACCCUAAAGAAGAUGAUUGUUAAAUAUUCGCCGUAUUCUUAAUAAAUAAAAAUAACAAUAAUAACAAAACUAAUAAAUAAGUCACUAAACAAGUUUAAAAAAAAAGCCUAAAAUGAUUAGAUCAGUGUUACAGGGCCUACGGAAUUUACUUAAAUAUUGAUC
RNAcentral lists this unclassified non-coding RNA (6242 nucleotides) under Neodiprion pinetum (white pine sawfly). Its description in RNAcentral is "tubby-related protein 4, transcript variant X7". Lineage: Eukaryota; Metazoa; Arthropoda; Insecta; Hymenoptera; Diprionidae. The record is from RNAcentral.